RNAcentral lists this ribosomal RNA (253 nucleotides) under uncultured bacterium. Its description in RNAcentral is "partial 16S ribosomal RNA". It matches the Rfam family "Bacterial small subunit ribosomal RNA", at positions 524 to 776 of the family's 1533-position model. The record is from RNAcentral.
UACGUAGGGUGCAAGCGUUGUCCGGAAUUAUUGGGCGUAAAGAGCUCGUAGGCGGUCUGUCGCGUCUGCUGUGAAAACCCGAGGCUCAACCUCGGGCCUGCAGUGGGUACGGGCAGACUAGAGUGCGGUAGGGGAGAAUGGAAUUCCUGGUGUAGCGGUGGAAUGCGCAGAUAUCAGGAGGAACACCGAUGGCGAAGGCAGUUCUCUGGGCCGUAACUGACGCUGAGGAGCGAAAGCGUGGGGAGCGAACAGG